GCUUUCAACAUCCCCGUUCUGCUCGGGAUUUUUUUAAAUUCCAACCGAAGCAGGACUGAAGGC
Molecule: small RNA, 63 nt
Filed under: unclassified sequences
Description: NAD+-I sequence
Rfam family: nadA riboswitch
Source: Rfam by way of RNAcentral